This is an RNA transcript of Cornus florida, 1527 nucleotides long. RefSeq lists it as uncharacterized. The transcript is spliced from 4 exons. The record is from RefSeq and is a predicted model, not a curated record. NCBI's taxonomy places the organism in Eukaryota, Viridiplantae, Streptophyta, Magnoliopsida, Cornales, Cornaceae.
UCUCUUUUCUUGGAAGAGAGACCGCACUUUUCAUUCCUGAGAUCAGAGGGAGAGGAGGUGUACCGGUUCUUGGCAACUAGUGGUGAUACAAUAAGUACAAAUUUUUUAAUCAGUUAAGACUGUAACGCAUCAAUCCAAUAUGGCGCAUUCUAACUCUGCCAAUAACAGUACUGCUAGCAGUGAUGAUGAAUUUUUUCAAGCGAAAUGCUGUGCUUUACAAUGCUCUAAUGAAAGAAGAGACUCCGAGCGAGUUGGUUGAACAGUGUCGACAACGCGACCAAUAUCCGGAGGGUCCAUUGCACGUUCUAACCUUACACGGUGACACAGUACUUCAUAUGGCUGCACACACUGCCAAAGCGGACUUCGUAAAUCAACUGCUAGGGAUGUUGCCUGAGAAUGAAUACUGCAAGCUUACCCGUCAAAAUGCAGUUGGAAACACAAUCCUACACGAGGCCGUGGCUUUUGACAAAUUAGUCCCAGCUGCCAAGAGAAUGCUAGACAUGGCACCUGAGUUGUCAAGUAAGGCCAACAAAUUUCGAGAGAGGCCUCUUUUCAGUGUUGCCCGCUAUGGCCAAAUUAAGAUGUUCAAAUUUCUUGAUAAGAAUAUUGAAAGUGAAGCAGAGCGCAAGGAAUUUUAUCAAAACGAUAACAAGACCACUGUACUUCACAGUGCUGUUUUCUUUGGCCAUUUCGAUUUGGCCUUAUAUAUUGCGACUGGGGAACAAAGUAAAUAUUUAGUUGUUGAAAAAGAUGAACAUGGUAUGACUGCUCUGCAGCAUCUUGCAAGUAAUUCAGCAGCAUUUGAAAUGAGGAAGACUGAAGGAUCCUUGAAGUGUCGUAUUGUAAUAAGGGUAAAUUGUCCCACAUUGAAAUCGGAUGGGAAAGUGAUUGGGUAUAAAUGGAUAGGUAUGCAGCAUUACCUAAUAGUUCGAGCUUUUGGGUAAAUGGGUAAGUGCCCAUUCAUUACAGUUAGUAUCAGAGCCAGACCCAGUCCUUGAUCCGGCCCUUACGCCAAGCACCUGGCCCGGUCAACGAGGGCGUUGCGAGUUUGGGUGGGAGAGAAUGUAAUAAGGGUCAUUUGUCCCACAUGAGUGGGUAUGCAGCAUUACCCUUACAACGGUCUCUUGAGAGUUGAAAAUUUGAUACCUAUUCCAGCAAUGAGAGGAAAAGGUACGUACGUACGUAUGAGAAAUUAUAUACUUGGUAAUGCAAUUUCGAUCAUACUUCCAGUAUUGUUAGUUUUCAUGUAUUACUACCGACUAAUUUGUAGGAAAUAAAGAUGCAUGGAUUUGGAGAGUGCCUUUCUGGGGAGCAAUUAGGAUGAAAAUGGUAAAAUAUGAAUCAGCUAAGGAACUUGCCCGCUUCUUAGUAGCAAAAGAUAAUUCAUCUAGAAGCUCAGCCGAGUGAAACCAAAGACAAUGGAGGGCUAUCAAAAUCAUCAUCAGCUUCCAAUACUACUGCAGAGAUUGAUGGGGAGAAAGACAACAGAGACAAACAUUCAAAAAAAAAAAAAAAAAAAAAAGACAA